Molecule: ribosomal RNA, 505 nt
Filed under: uncultured Oscillospiraceae bacterium
Lineage: Bacteria; Bacillati; Bacillota; Clostridia; Eubacteriales; Oscillospiraceae
Description: bacterial SSU rRNA
Rfam family: Bacterial small subunit ribosomal RNA
Source: RNAcentral
CGUAGAGUUGACUCUGGCGUCAGGACGACGCUGGCGGCGUGCCUAAUACAUGCAAGUCGAACGGAGAUAUUCGCUGAUGAAGUACUUCGGUAAUGAAUCUUGGAUAUCUUAGUGGCGACGGGUGAGUAACGCGUGAGCAACCUGCCUUUCAGAGGGGGAUAACGUUUGGAACGAACGCUAAUACCGCAUGACAUUAUCUUAUCGCAUGGUAGGAUAAUCAAAGGAGCAAUCCGCUGAAAGAUGGGCUCGCGUCCGAUUAGGUAGUUGGUGGGGUAACGGCCCACCAAGCCGACGAUCGGUAGCCGGACUGAGAGGUUGGACGGCCACAUUGGGACUGAGACACGGCCCAGACUCCUACGGGAGGCAGCAGUAAGGGAUAUUGGUCAAUGGGGGAAACCCUGAGCCAGCAACGCCGCGUGAGGGAAGACGGUUUUCGGAUUGUAAACCUCUGUCCUCUGUGAAGAUGAUGACGGUAGCAGAGGAGGAAGCUCCGGCUAACUACGUG